This 468-nucleotide ribosomal RNA is filed under the name uncultured bacterium. RNAcentral describes it as "partial 16S ribosomal RNA". It matches the Rfam family "Bacterial small subunit ribosomal RNA", at positions 28 to 507 of the family's 1533-position model. The record is from RNAcentral.
GACGAACGCUGGCGGCGUGCUUAACACAUGCAAGUCGAACGGAAAGGCCCUGCUUUUGUGGGGUGCUCGAGUGGCGAACGGGUGAGUAACACGUGAGUAACCUGCCCUUGACUUUGGGAUAACUUCAGGAAACUGGGGCUAAUACCGGAUAGGAGCUCCUGUUGCAUGGUGGUGGUUGGAAAGUUUCGGCGGUUGGGGAUGGACUCGCGGCUUAUCAGCUUGUUGGUGGGGUAGUGGCUUACCAAGGCUUUGACGGGUAGCCGGCCUGAGAGGGUGACCGGCCACAUUGGGACUGAGAUACGGCCCAGACUCCUACGGGAGGCAGCAGUGGGGAAUAUUGCACAAUGGGCGGAAGCCUGAUGCAGCAACGCCGCGUGCGGGAUGACGGCCUUCGGGUUGUAAACCGCUUUCGCCUGUGACGAAGCGUGAGUGACGGUAAUGGGUAAAGAAGCACCGGCUAACUACGUG